Molecule: ribosomal RNA, 497 nt
Filed under: uncultured bacterium
Lineage: Bacteria
Description: partial 16S ribosomal RNA
Rfam family: Bacterial small subunit ribosomal RNA
Source: RNAcentral
GAUGAACGCUGGCGGCGUGCCUAAUACAUGCAGGUCGAGCGAACAGACGAGGAGCUUGCUCCUUUGACGUUAGCGGCGGACGGGUGAGUAACACGUGGAUAACCUACCUAUAAGACUGGGAUAACUUCGGGAAACCGGAGCUAAUAUCGGAUAACAUGUUGAACCGCAUGGUUCAACAGUGAAAGACGGUCUUGCUGUCACUUAUAGAUGGAUCCGCGCCGCAUUAGCUAGUUGGUAAGGUAACGGCUUACCAAGGCAACGAUGCGUAGCCGACCUGAGAGGGUGAUCGGCCACACUGGAACUGAGACACGGUCCAGACUCCUACGGGAGGCAGCAGUAGGGAAUCUUCCGCAAUGGGCGAAAGCCUGACGGAGCAACGCCGCGUGAGUGAAGAAGGUCUUCGGAUCGUAAAACUCUGUUAUUAGGGAAGAACAAAUGUGUAAGUAACUAUGCACGUCUUGACGGUACCUAAUCAGAAAGCCACGGCUAACUACGUG